Molecule: transfer RNA, 68 nt
Filed under: Tenuidactylus caspius
Lineage: Eukaryota; Metazoa; Chordata; Lepidosauria; Squamata; Gekkonidae
Description: tRNA-Ala
Rfam family: tRNA
About the family: Transfer RNA (tRNA) molecules are approximately 80 nucleotides in length. Their secondary structure includes four short double-helical elements and three loops (D, anti-codon, and T loops). Further hydrogen bonds mediate the characteristic L-shaped molecular structure. tRNAs have two regions of fundamental functional importance: the anti-codon, which is responsible for specific mRNA codon recognition, and the 3' end, to which the tRNAs corresponding amino acid is attached (by aminoacyl-tRNA synthetases). tRNAs cope with the degeneracy of the genetic code in two manners: having more than one tRNA (with a specific anti-codon) for a particular amino acid; and 'wobble' base-pairing, i.e. permitting non-standard base-pairing at the 3rd anti-codon position.
Source: RNAcentral
GAGGCCUUAGCUUAAUUUAAAGUGCCUGGUUUGCAGUCAGGAGAUGUAGUGUUAAAUUUACAGGUCUU